UACGUAGGGUGCAAGCGUUAAUCGGAAUUACUGGGCGUAAAGCGUGCGCAGGCGGUUGUGCCAGACAGAUGUGAAAUCCCCGGGCUCAACCUGGGAACUGCAUUUGUGACUGCACGGCUGGAGUGCGGCAGAGGGGGAUGGAAUUCCGCGUGUAGCAGUGAAAUGCGUAGAGAUGCGGAGGAACACCGAUGGCGAAGGCAGCCCCCUGGGCUAACACUGACGCUCAGGCACGAAAGCGUGGGGAGCAAACAGG
Molecule: ribosomal RNA, 253 nt
Filed under: uncultured bacterium
Lineage: Bacteria
Description: partial 16S ribosomal RNA
Rfam family: Bacterial small subunit ribosomal RNA
Source: RNAcentral